Molecule: long non-coding RNA, 1061 nt
Organism: Strongylocentrotus purpuratus (purple sea urchin)
Lineage: Eukaryota; Metazoa; Echinodermata; Echinoidea; Camarodonta; Strongylocentrotidae
Exons: 3
Source: RefSeq, a predicted model, not a curated record
AGAAAGAAGUCGAGUAUGUAUGUUUAAUGAGGUAUAAAAGUAGUUUGCAUGGAUAUUUUGAUCACUUGGCUCCACCCCGACUUGGUCUCCUCCACCUGUACCCCUGUCCUCCCAUCUCCAUCAAGCUGUCCCUGAACUAACAACUAAUUGCUGCAUGUGAAAAUCAACAAGUUCUGGACUCACAAAGUUAUCGAAGUACGUUAUACAGCGUUGUUCCAGAAUCGUUCAAGAAAGCCAAGUCACUUCAAUCACCAAGUCGGGAAUAUUCAACUAAAUUUUACAACAUACUUCAAGGGAACUUAAUCUGAAAGUGUCAGGAACUGAUUCAUAAGGAGGAACAUUGAUAGGAGGAACAUUGAUUGCAGAUACGUCGGUAGAUAGGUACCAUUAACCCUAUGCCAAUUUGAUGCUGUGUUCCUGAUUCUGAUCCUGAGUUCCUGAAUUUGAUCCUGUCGUCCUGAUCCCGCAACUGUGUUCCCGAUUCCGUUCCCGUCUUCGACGUCGUCAUCUUUCCUGUUCCCAUACCCGUAGCAUCGUUGUCCAUCUCUUCAUCUCGUCUGUAAACGGCCGAAUCGGUACAUCCACUCCAAUCGCGAAUAGUCUACCGCGCUGUAUGUAAGUGCCCACAGUACUAACAAUUUCUAACUAACCUCCUUCUUCCCAACCCUUAAUGUCCCAUUUAUUUAGACUAACAAGUUAAGGCUUUUAAAUUGUAUGUUAGCUUAAGGUGUAUUUUGAUAUGAAUGUAUGUUGAAGAGAAGACAGAGAUCUUCUGGAUUAUUGAUACUAUUUCCAUGACAUUGUUUGAUGAUAAAUACUGUUAGAAGACUAGUUGAUACAGGUUAGUGAUUGGUAAAUAAACAUAUAUGACACCUUAAAUAUUAUAUCGUGUCCCAGCGCUUUUAUUCUUUGACUUUAUUUUAAAUCGGUGGUCUAUUUGAACUAACCCCUCCCCCGAGUGAAAGUCAUAGCUAGCGGACCAAUACAAAAACCUGAUUUCACUCGGAGCUCGAUUCUACUAUUUCAUUAUAAUAGAAGACGGCGUGGUGUGGGCGGUUAGA